This 90-nucleotide transfer RNA is filed under the name Streptomyces fumanus. RNAcentral describes it as "tRNA-Arg(ccg)". Lineage: Bacteria; Bacillati; Actinomycetota; Actinomycetes; Kitasatosporales; Streptomycetaceae. The record is from RNAcentral.
CGACGUCCCGCACCGGAAGCGGCGGGGGCGACUCCGGGUCGGCCACGUCCUCCAGCGGGCCCCACAGCGGUUCGAUCUCGCCGGUGUCGC